GACGAACGCUGGCGGCGUGCUUAACACAUGCAAGUCGAACGAAGAGCGAUGGAAGCUUGCUUCUAUCAAUCUUAGUGGCGAACGGGUGAGUAACGCGUAAUCAACCUGCCCUUCAGAGGGGGACAACAGUUGGAAAUGACUGCUAAUACCGCAUACGAUCUAAUCUCGGCAUCGAGGAUAGAUGAAAGGUGGCCUCUACAUGUAAGCUAUCACUGAAGGAGGGGAUUGCGUCUGAUUAGCUAGUUGGAGGGGUAACGGCCCACCAAGGCGAUGAUCAGUAGCCGGUCUGAGAGGAUGAACGGCCACAUUGGGACUGAGACACGGCCCAGACUCCUACGGGAGGCAGCAGUGGGGAAUCUUCCGCAGUGGACGAAAGUCUGACGGAGCAACGCCGCGUAAGUGAUGACGGCCUUCGGGUUGUAAAGCUCUGUUAAUCGGGACGAAAGGCCUUCUUGCGAAUAG
Molecule: ribosomal RNA, 462 nt
Filed under: Veillonella parvula
Lineage: Bacteria; Bacillati; Bacillota; Negativicutes; Veillonellales; Veillonellaceae
Description: bacterial SSU rRNA
Rfam family: Bacterial small subunit ribosomal RNA
Source: RNAcentral